UUGAAUUGAAGAGUUUGAUCAUGGCUCAGAUUGAACGCUGGCGGCAGGCUUAACACAUGCAAGUCGAACGGUAGCAGGAGAAAGCUUGCUUUCUUGCUGACGAGUGGCGGACGGGUGAGUAAUGCUUGGGAAUCUGGCUUAUGGAGGGGGAUAACGACGGGAAACUGUCGCUAAUACCGCGUAUUAUCGGAAGAUGAAAGUGCGGGACUGAGAGGCCGCAUGCCAUAGGAUGAGCCCAAGUGGGAUUAGGUAGUUGGUGGGGUAAAGGCCUACCAAGCCUGCGAUCUCUAGCUGGUCUGAGAGGAUGACCAGCCACACUGGAACUGAGACACGGUCCAGACUCCUACGGGAGGCAGCAGUGGGGAAUAUUGCGCAAUGGGGGGAACCCUGACGCAGCCAUGCCGCGUGAAUGAAGAAGGCCUUAGGGUUGUAAAGUUCUUUCGGUAUUGAGGAAGGUUGAUGUGUUAAUAGAACAUCAAAUUGACGUUAAAUACAGAAGAAGCACCGGCUAACUCCGUGCCAGCAGCCGCGGUAAUACGGAGGGUGCGAGCGUUAAUCGGAAUAACUGGGCGUAAAGGGCACGCAGGCGGUUAUUUAAGUGAGGUGUGAAAGCCCCGGGCUUAACCUGGGAAUUGCAUUUCAGACUGGGUAACUAGAGUACUUUAGGGAGGGG
This 673-nucleotide ribosomal RNA is filed under the name Haemophilus influenzae. RNAcentral describes it as "bacterial SSU rRNA". It matches the Rfam family "Bacterial small subunit ribosomal RNA", at positions 1 to 661 of the family's 1533-position model. Lineage: Bacteria; Pseudomonadati; Pseudomonadota; Gammaproteobacteria; Pasteurellales; Pasteurellaceae. The record is from RNAcentral.